UAGCUCAGUGGUAGAGCACAUUCUUAACAUGCAUGAGGUCCUGGGUUCAAUCCCCAG
Molecule: transfer RNA, 57 nt
Filed under: Camelus bactrianus (Bactrian camel)
Lineage: Eukaryota; Metazoa; Chordata; Mammalia; Artiodactyla; Camelidae
Also listed under: 1 other name
Rfam family: tRNA
About the family: Transfer RNA (tRNA) molecules are approximately 80 nucleotides in length.
Source: Rfam by way of RNAcentral